Molecule: transfer RNA, 99 nt
Filed under: Streptomyces sp. IB2014 011-1
Lineage: Bacteria; Bacillati; Actinomycetota; Actinomycetes; Kitasatosporales; Streptomycetaceae
Description: tRNA-Ile
Source: RNAcentral
CCCCGCCGGGGGUCUCGGUGAACAGGACGUCCCGGCGGAUGCGCGGGCGGGUCCCGGCGAGCGCGUCGAAGGCUCCGGUUCCGUUUCCGGUGGCGGCGG